UGGGGAAUAUUGCACAAUGGGCGAAAGCCUGAUGCAGCAACGCCGCGUGAGUGAUGAAGGUCUUCGGAUUGUAAAGCUCUGUCUUUUGGGACGAUAAUGACGGUACCAAAGGAGGAAGCCACGGCUAACUACGUGCCAGCAGCCGCGGUAAUACGUAGGUGGCGAGCGUUGUCCGGAUUUACUGGGCGUAAAGGGUGCGUAGGCGGAUGUUUAAGUGAGAUGUGAAAUACCCGGGCUUAACUUGGGUGCUGCAUUUCAAACUGGAUAUCUAGAGUGCAGGAGAGGAGAAUGGAAUUCCUAGUGUAGCGGUGAAAUGCGUAGAGAUUAGGAAGAACACCAGUGGCGAAGGCGAUUCUCUGGACUGUAACUGACGCUGAGGCACGAAAGCGUGGGUAGCAAACAGGAUUAGAUACCCUGGUAGUCCACGCCGUAAACGAUGAGUACUAGGUGUAGGAGGUAUCGACCCCUUCUGUGCCGCAGUAAACACAUUAAGUACUCCGCCUGGGAAGUACGAUCGCA
RNAcentral lists this ribosomal RNA (519 nucleotides) under uncultured bacterium. Its description in RNAcentral is "partial 16S ribosomal RNA". It matches the Rfam family "Bacterial small subunit ribosomal RNA", at positions 355 to 890 of the family's 1533-position model. The record is from RNAcentral.